UACGUAGGGACCGAGCGUUGUCCGGAAUCAUUGGGCGUAAAGAGCGUGUAGGCGGCUUGUUAAGUCUUGCGUGAAAUCUCGGGGCUCAACCCCGAGCGGUCGUGAGAAACUGGCAGGCUAGAGUGCGGGAGAGGAGAGUGGAAUUCCUGGUGUAGCGGUGAAAUGCGCAGAUAUCAGGAGGAACACCGGUGGUGUAGACGGCUCACUGGACCGUAACUGACGCUGAGACACGAAAGCGUGGGUAGCAAACAGG
Molecule: ribosomal RNA, 253 nt
Filed under: uncultured bacterium
Lineage: Bacteria
Description: partial 16S ribosomal RNA
Rfam family: Bacterial small subunit ribosomal RNA
Source: RNAcentral